Raphanus sativus (radish) is the source of this 1742-nucleotide RNA transcript. RefSeq lists it as uncharacterized. NCBI's taxonomy places the organism in Eukaryota, Viridiplantae, Streptophyta, Magnoliopsida, Brassicales, Brassicaceae. The record is from RefSeq and is a predicted model, not a curated record. The transcript is spliced from 4 exons.
CUAAUCAUUCACUUCAAUUCACAUGUCUUCCUCUUCGAAACCUCUGAACGAUGAUGCGGCCAUGGCUCUCUUCCGGUCUUUUGUUUGGGCUUAAGCGCAAGAUGUUUUCUUCGGUCCAGAGACGACCUAAUCUGCGUGAACCCUAAUCUAUGGUUUGUGGUUUUCGUUGCUUUUUCUACGGCGGAAGGCUGUGCCGAUUCAGUUCCGGUAACCGACGGCGUUGUGAUUACUCUGUCUUUAAUCCCAUUAAUUCAUAAUCCCACUACGAUAGCUUCAGUUGCAUUGUUCCUUCGAUGAUUUCGGUAUAAAAAGUCCGGUCGGUGUUCAUUGGUAGGCCAGGCUGCUUCGUUACUGGGAGGCUACAAAUGUCAAACGUGAUGACCAUGAUGCAAGCCACUAUCAGGCUUACAGAUUCUUCUUUGCUGAUCCGGUUCGACGAGUCCGCCUCUUUUGAAGAGCUAACUGAGCCGGUCUCUUCGAUCGGUGUUUCGAUUAUGGCCAACCCUCAACAGCUUCUGUCUGAUUCGAAAAAAUGGUCGUUGCAGGGAGACUGUUGUGACAAGGUCCUCCAUUUUCGAGAAGCAAGUAACGUGAGGAAGGACGGAGAGCUUAUGAUUAUGGUAGAUGAGAUGGUAUUAAUUCACAUUUGAAUUUAUGAUAUUAUUCACAUCUGAAUCUAUGGUAGUUGAGGUCUUUGGCAAUUAUGUUUAUUGCAAAUGUUUGAUUGUUUAUCUCCGUCAGCCCGUUUAACACCUCCUUAGAGAAUGAGGAAUUAUGAGCUCACAACUCAGUUUACGUGCGUAUGUUUGGUCAUUGCAGAGGUAAGGAUGAGCUUCCUUGGCGGUGAAAUGAAAUGCAUAUAUUCAUUUUAUCUACUGAAGUAAACCAUAGGUUAAGGAACUGUUAUCGUGGGGAUCAUCAUGUGAGCUCAAAUCAUUAUCACUGUAAACAUGGCAAGAGGUGUGAUCAUCAUGAUGCGGUGGAUGCAUAGAAGAUUGUGGGAUGGAGAGAUUUGAAAUCUGAGAGACAGAAAAAGUUAAGACUUCGGGUCUGAGAAGGAAGUCUAGACAAUUCUGUUGCUGCAAAGAGAGAUGUGUUGGCUGUAAAGCAACAACCAUGUGAUUCUGUUAAUACUGAAACAUCUGGCCUUAAAAAAGAUGGUGAGGUGGUCAGAUCUGUUGAUGGUUCGAGUUAAAAGCAUUGAUAAAGCUCAGAAUAACAAAGCAACAAAGAGUACUCUGACUGUUUCAGCUGUUGUUAAAAAGGUUAAUGAAAUGUCAAGUUCUAAUUUGAAGAAGGUAUCAAGAAUCAGUGAUGCUGAAAUUUCUAAGGUUUCUGCUCCAUGAGUAUUAAGAAUAACGAGAAGACAAAAGCUCCGACAAUAAGCGAUAAAGAUGUAAAAGAGAAAACUGUGUGUGCUGUUGAAGCUAGCGGCAAAGGUGUUCAAAGUAAGAAGGAAGCAUCAUCUGAAACAAAAAAAAAACAUGAGUAGUUGACAUAAAAGCUUGGCUACUCCUAAAAAGAUACGUGGUGAUGCAGAGCUUGAAGCAGAUCAAAGAUAUAUAAGAUCACUUAGAACUGAUUUAAUUCAAUCGAUUUUUAGUUUAGCUUUAGUUCAAAGAAAAAACAUUUGGACCAAGUUGGCAGGCUCAUUACCCCAGUAUAACAUCCACAAAAAUCAAGUUUAGAAACUCACGUUAAUUUGAAUGAUUAAAGCAAAUCCCAAGUCUUAUAACAUGAAA